GGAUGAACGCUGGCGGCGUGCUUAACACAUGCAAGUCGAACGGUGAAGCCAAGCUUGCUUGGUGGAUCAGUGGCGAACGGGUGAGUAACACGUGAGCAAUCUGCCCUUGACUCUGGGAUAAGCGCUGGAAACGGCGUCUAAUACUGGAUAUGAGCUGCGGCCGCAUGGUCGGCAGUUGGAAAGAUUUUUCGGUCAAGGAUGAGCUCGCGGCCUAUCAGCUUGUUGGUGAGGUAAUGGCUCACCAAGGCGUCGACGGGUAGCCGGCCUGAGAGGGUGACCGGCCACACUGGGACUGAGACACGGCCCAGACUCCUACGGGAGGCAGCAGUGGGGAAUAUUGCACAAUGGGCGGAAGCCUGAUGCAGCAACGCCGCGUGAGGGAUGACGGCCUUCGGGUUGUAAACCUCUUUUAGCAGGGAAGAAGCGUGAGUGACGGUACCUGCAGAAAAAGCACCGGCUAACUACGUGCCAGCAGCCGCGGUAAUACGUAGGGUGCAAGCGUUAUCCGGAAUUAUUGGGCGUAAAGAGCUCGUAGGCGGUUUGUCGCGUCUGCUGUGAAAUCCCGAGGCUCAACCUCGGGUCUGCAGUGGGUACGGGCAGACUAGAGUGCGGUAGGGGAGAUUGGAAUUCCUGGUGUAGCGGUGGAAUGCGCAGAUAUCAGGAGGAACACCGAUGGCGAAGGCAGAUCUCUGGGCCGUAACUGACGCUGAGGAGCGAAAGGGUGGGGAGCAAACAGGCUUAGAUACCCUGGUAGUCCACCCCGU
This 764-nucleotide ribosomal RNA is filed under the name Microbacterium sp. RNAcentral's name for it is "bacterial SSU rRNA". It matches the Rfam family "Bacterial small subunit ribosomal RNA", at positions 27 to 803 of the family's 1533-position model. Lineage: Bacteria; Bacillati; Actinomycetota; Actinomycetes; Micrococcales; Microbacteriaceae. The record is from RNAcentral.